GAGUUUGAUCCUGGCUCAGAACGAACGCUGGCGGCAUGCCUAAUACAUGCAAGUCGAACGAGAUCUUCGGAUCUAGUGGCGCACGGGUGCGUAACGCGUGGGAAUCUGCCCUUGGGUUCGGAAUAACAGUUAGAAAUGACUGCUAAUACCGGAUGAUGACGUAAGUCCAAAGAUUUAUCGCCCAGGGAUGAGCCCGCGUAGGAUUAGCUAGUUGGUGAGGUAAAGGCUCACCAAGGCGACGAUCCUUAGCUGGUCUGAGAGGAUGAUCAGCCACACUGGGACUGAGACACGGCCCAGACUCCUACGGGAGGCAGCAGUAGGGAAUAUUGGACAAUGGGCGAAAGCCUGAUCCAGCAAUGCCGCGUGAGCGAUGAAGGCCUUAGGGUUGUAAAGCUCUUUUACCCGGGAUGAUAAUGACAGUACCGGGAGAAUAAGCCCCGGCUAACUCCGUG
RNAcentral lists this ribosomal RNA (452 nucleotides) under uncultured Sphingomonadaceae bacterium. Its description in RNAcentral is "bacterial SSU rRNA". It matches the Rfam family "Bacterial small subunit ribosomal RNA", at positions 9 to 507 of the family's 1533-position model. The record is from RNAcentral. Lineage: Bacteria; Pseudomonadati; Pseudomonadota; Alphaproteobacteria; Sphingomonadales; Sphingomonadaceae.